This is a long non-coding RNA of Cygnus olor (mute swan), 452 nucleotides long. RefSeq lists it as uncharacterized. NCBI's taxonomy places the organism in Eukaryota, Metazoa, Chordata, Aves, Anseriformes, Anatidae. The transcript has 3 exons. The record is from RefSeq and is a predicted model, not a curated record.
AGAAAUGGAGCUUACUUGUAGGCAGGCGCUUACUCCUGAUGCAGCAGCUAAAUCCAGAAGGUCUUGGGAGCAAGGGGGAGCAGGAGGCUUUAACAGCAGCACAGCCCGGCACUUUGGAAAUAAAGCCACCUGCAGGACUGUGAUAUACGGAACACCUUACAGACAGAGAUGCCCUCACAGAUUCUGACAUACUUCUGAAGAACUGUAAGAGAAACAAACAUCUGGAGGUUUAGCAACAUGCAUGAAAUACAUUAAAUAAAUAUUGCAUCACUGCCUCCUCAAGUGUGCAACCCCACCAUGAGCCGCCGUCAGGGAUCCCGCCCUGACGUUUGCAGUGAGGACAAAUGACAGUCAGAGGUCAGCCAGAAAGUCGGGGAGCUGAACUGGGAGCUAACAAAACUCAUGUUAGUUUCUGCAACCAUUGCUGUUUUUCUUUUUACAUGGACCUCAGC